CAAGUGAAAUCUUCUGGGAAGUGUGUCUCGAGAGCAUUGAAAAUCUGUGUUCCAGAGUCAGCCGAGGUUGUACCAUAUGCUGGCAGCCAGACCUUUACUAUGAAUAAGAGUCACCUAGGUAGUACUGUGUUUUGAAGGCAUGGAGAGCAGCUGAGAGUUGGCACUGUGAGAAGGUAGGAGAGGCCAUUGGUGAAGGUACAACCUCAGUGGUAGUUGAAGGCCUGGGACUGAAGGGGUCACACAAAUACACUGAGGCUUGGCACCAUGAAGAGAGCCUAUGAGAGGCUAUUGGUAAAAGUUCUGGCCAGCUGCAACAUUUUGUAGAUGCCAGUAGAACAUGGAAUGACCACCACCAACAGCAGCAGAGGAAUGGAGUGGAGCCAUCUUGAGCCUAGAAUACAAGUUAUGUUUGCUGCAGAGGGCAGAACCUGAGAAAUGACCCACUUCUUUGAAGGAUUCUAGAAGAUUCAGAUUCACUGAGUUGUGAAAUCUGGACAUAUACACGCCAGGCAGGAGUUGGUUUCCAGGAUGCUGGCUCAAUGGAACUGAAAAGUUGCUUCACAGAUUUUGAAGUGGGACCAGUUCAUCCAUCAAGCUUAUUGCCAGCCAGCAGGCUGAGAGCACAUGAGGGUCCACCAAUGGGGAUAAUGGGCAUACAGGCUCGGAUAUGUGACUCAAGGAAACUAAAACCAUAACAAUUAAGAUCAUAGAAAGUGAAGAAGAGUGGAGCAAGAAGCAAAAGAACUAUUGGAUGAGUCAAGAGUUGAUCUAGAGAUGAAUGCAACUGAGAGCCAAGGAGGAACAGAGCAUGUGCAGCACCGACUAGGAGGGGGGAGGACUGACAUCAUGAUACAAAGAGGAUCCAGCAGGGAAUUCCUAAAGUUACCUGAGCUGAUGUUGGUUGGGAGCACAAACCUAUGCAAAGAUAGCCCUCACCAAGCCAAGGAACUCAAGACCAACAAAUCAUUGAAGCCUACUAGUCAGCAAGGAGAACCAAGCUGUUGAACUUUCAGUGUGAGAGACUGUCAGAAGAUUAUAAGUUGCCAGAAAAGAGGGGCACCCAGGCCCUAGACUGGGUGUUGACAUGAAGAGCUGUAAGGCAAAUACAGCAGGGUAGAGAA
Molecule: long non-coding RNA, 1121 nt
Organism: Mesocricetus auratus (golden hamster)
Lineage: Eukaryota; Metazoa; Chordata; Mammalia; Rodentia; Cricetidae
Exons: 3
Source: RefSeq, a predicted model, not a curated record